This 253-nucleotide ribosomal RNA is filed under the name uncultured bacterium. RNAcentral's name for it is "partial 16S ribosomal RNA". It matches the Rfam family "Bacterial small subunit ribosomal RNA", at positions 524 to 776 of the family's 1533-position model. The record is from RNAcentral.
UACAGAGGUCCCAAGCGUUGUUCGGAUUCACUGGGCGUAAAGGGUGCGUAGGUGGUUGGGUAAGUUUGAUGUGAAAGCUCGGAGCUUAACUCCGAAAUGGCAUUGAAUACUUCUUAACUUGAGGGUCGGAGGGGAGACUGGAAUUCUCGGUGUAGCAGUGAAAUGCGUAGAUAUCGAGAGGAACACCAGUGGCGAAGGCGAGUCUCUGGACGACUCCUGACACUGAGGCACGAAAGCUAGGGGAGCAAACAGG